ACACGGAGGGUGCGAGCGUUGUCCGGAUUCACUGGGCGUAAAGCGCGCGUAGGCGGCUUUGUAAGUCACCUGUGAAAUCCCGGGGCUCAACCCCGUGAAAUGCAAGCGAUACUGGCGGACUGGAGAUCGGUAGAGGCUAGCGGAAUUCCUGGUGUAGCGGUGGAAUGCGUAGAUAUCAGGAAGAACACCCGUGGCGAAGGCGGCUAGCUGGGCCGAGUCUGACACUCAUCCGCGAAAGCGUGGGGAGCAAACAGGAUUAGAAACCCCGGUAGUCC
This 275-nucleotide ribosomal RNA is filed under the name uncultured bacterium. Its description in RNAcentral is "partial 16S ribosomal RNA". It matches the Rfam family "Bacterial small subunit ribosomal RNA", at positions 523 to 796 of the family's 1533-position model. The record is from RNAcentral.